RNAcentral lists this ribosomal RNA (492 nucleotides) under uncultured bacterium. RNAcentral describes it as "partial 16S ribosomal RNA". It matches the Rfam family "Bacterial small subunit ribosomal RNA", at positions 29 to 507 of the family's 1533-position model. The record is from RNAcentral.
AGUGAACGCUGGCGGUAGGCCUAACACAUGCAAGUCGAACGGCAGCACAGUAAGAGCUUGCUCUUACGGGUGGCGAGUGGCGGACGGGUGAGGAAUACAUCGGAAUCUACUUUUUCGUGGGGGAUAACGUAAGGAAACUUACGCUAAUACCGCAUACGACCUACGGGUGAAAGCAGGGGAUCUUCGGACCUUGCGCGAUUGAAUGAGCCGAUGUCGGAUUAGCUAGUUGGCGGGGUAAAGGCCCACCAAGGCGACGAUCCGUAGCUGGUCUGAGAGGAUGAUCAGCCACACUGGAACUGAGACACGGUCCAGACUCCUACGGGAGGCAGCAGUGGGGAAUAUUGGACAAUGGGCGCAAGCCUGAUCCAGCCAUACCGCGUGGGUGAAGAAGGCCUUCGGGUUGUAAAGCCCUUUUGUUGGGAAAGAAAAGCAGCAGGUUAAGACCCCGCUGUUCUGACGGUACCCAAAGAAUAAGCACCGGCUAACUUCGUG